CUUGAAUCAAGAGUGACGGGCGAUUUGUGCAUGCUUAAUUUCAUUGUGAUUCUAACUUAAUUUUUAUUAAUAAAUUUUAUUUUCAAGUCCUCUUUCAGUUUUUUUUCUUUUUACUUCUAUUCUUUUUGUUCUUUGUAUCCCAUGUUAUUCCUCUUUAUGAUCUCUGUCUUGAUUUGUAUUGUUAUUUUUGUUCAUUUUUAAAAAAAACUUUUAAGUUUUUGUUUUAAACAAUGAUAUAGAAAAUAAUAAAAGAGGUUUAAUUAAUCGUGGGCUAUCUAUUACAUCACAGGAUCCCCUAUUUAGCUUAAGCACCGCCAUCUAACUUAAUUUUUGUUUAAUUAACUACUAAUUUUCUUUACUUUAAAA
Molecule: ribosomal RNA, 366 nt
Filed under: Tegolophus sp. YN449b 1
Lineage: Eukaryota; Metazoa; Arthropoda; Arachnida; Trombidiformes; Eriophyidae
Description: partial small subunit ribosomal RNA
Source: RNAcentral